Molecule: ribosomal RNA, 253 nt
Filed under: uncultured bacterium
Lineage: Bacteria
Description: partial 16S ribosomal RNA
Rfam family: Bacterial small subunit ribosomal RNA
Source: RNAcentral
UACGGGGGGUGCAAGCGUUAAUCGGAAUUACUGGGCGUAAAGGGUGCGUAGGUGGUUUGAUAAGUUAUCUGUGAAAGCCCUGGGCUCAACCUGGGAAGGCCAGAUAAGACUGUUAGACUCGAGUACGGGAGAGGGCAGUGGAAUUUCCGGUGUAGCGGUGAAAUGCGUAGAGAUCGGAAGGAACACCAGUGGCGAAGGCGGCUGCCUGGCCUGAUACUGACACUGAGGCACGAAAGCGUGGGGAGCAAACAGG